This 253-nucleotide ribosomal RNA is filed under the name uncultured bacterium. RNAcentral's name for it is "partial 16S ribosomal RNA". It matches the Rfam family "Bacterial small subunit ribosomal RNA", at positions 524 to 776 of the family's 1533-position model. The record is from RNAcentral.
UACGUAGGGUGCAAGCGUUGUCCGGAAUUAUUGGGCGUAAAGAGCUCGUAGGCGGUCUGUCGCGUCGAUCGUGAAAACUUGGGGCUUAACCCUGAGCUUGCAGUGGGUACGGGCAGACUAGAGUGCGGUAGGGGAGACUGGAAUUCCUGGUGUAGCGGUGAAAUGCGCAGAUAUCAGGAGGAACACCGGUGGCGAAGGCGGGUCUCUGGGCCGUAACUGACGCUGAGGAGCGAAAGCAUGGGGAGCGAACAGG